Molecule: long non-coding RNA, 4317 nt
Filed under: Sarcophilus harrisii (Tasmanian devil)
Lineage: Eukaryota; Metazoa; Chordata; Mammalia; Dasyuromorphia; Dasyuridae
Description: lncRNA (ENSSHAG00000030084.1)
Source: RNAcentral
UAAGGAUUCCUUACUCUUGGACAGCUCCAAAUGGUCUUUUUUUAAAAAUCAGUACUCAUUCCCCUUGACCUCUCUGCAGUCUUUUAAUGCUAUUGGCUCCCUUCUCUUUGUUAUUCUCUUCGUUCUAGGUUUUUGGGGAUACCACUGUCUUUUCUGUGUUCUGAGAUUUCUCCCAGAUCUGACAUACUACAUAGAAUUUAGAAAGGUCCUUCCUAAUAGAAGGUGGGAAAAUUGAGACACUAAUGCACGUUGAGGGCAUUGUGAACUGAUUUAAUCAUUUUGGAGAGCAAUUUAGAAUUAUAUCCAAAGGUCUAUAAAAUUGUGCAUAUCCAGCAAAAUCACUGCUAGAUUUAUAUCCCAAAGAGAUCAAAGAAAAAUGAAACAGACUUAUGUACACAAAAAUAUUUAUAGCAGUUUUUUGGUGGUGGCAAAGAAUUGUACAUUGAGGAAAUAUCCAUCAAUUAAGAGAUGACUGAACAAAAUGUAGUAUAUGAUUGUGAUGGAAUACUAUUGUUCUAUAAGAAAUGAGCAUUCUGCUUUCAGAAAAAACCUGGAAAGAUUCACAUGAACUGAUGCAAAGUGAAGCGAGCAGAAUCAGGAGAACAAUAUAUACAGUAACAGCAAUAUUGUACAACUGUGAAUGAGUUAACUAUUCUUAGCACUACAAGAAUCCAGAAUAAUUCCAAAAAACUUUUUGUGAAAAAUGUUAUCCAUCUCCAGAGAAAGAACUGAUGCAGUCUGCAUACAGGCCGAAGCAUACUUUUUUAAAAGCUUUAUUUAUUUUUCUUAGGUUUUUUUUCCUGGUCUGUUUUCUUUCACAACAUGACUAAUAUGGAAAUAUAUUUUGCAUUACUACACAUAUAUAACCUAUGUAAAAUUACUUGAUUUCUCAAUGAAAGAGAAGUUUAAAGACCCAAAUGUUAACAUUUUAAGAAAUGAAUGUUUAAAAUUGUUUUUACAUAUAAUUGGGGGAAAUAAAUUUUUUUCAAAAAAGGCUUCCUCUCAUUUUAUACAUACUAAUGACUAAUCCAGUUUGAUAUUCCCGAAAUCUGAGUUUUUCUAUGCUCCAUCCCUAGGCAAAAUUAUUCAUUUCUACCAUCAUACAUAAGGGAUGAGCUCCAAACAUAUUUCCUAGUCUCUAUAGAGAUGUAACAAUCUCUAGCAAUGUAAAACCAUGGAAAAAACGAACUUCUGGAAUGAUAUGAGGAAGAUAGAAAAUGUCUUGUGGGGGGAAGGACAAUAGAAAUCCAUGUGGUAUAGAGCAUGCUUGUUAUUGAAGUUGGGUCAGUUUUUUUAAGCGUAGACAUUAGACUUGUGACAUCAUCAAUACAGAAAACUCCUAAGUGAGGAAACUUCCGGCAUCAAGGCUGACCCCUUAACCAUACUCUAUACUGCUUUUCACUACAUCCUCUAUGAAUGUAAACUCACCACUAAUUUAGUACAUAAAAACAUAUGUGAUUUAGUUGUAAAAAAAUAUAAAAACAAAAAGACCUUCAAGUUUGGUGUGCUUAAGAGAAAUAAAACCCCAGAAAACAAACCCCUUGCCUCUCAGAACUUAAUUUUUCCAUUAUAAUUCGUCUUCCAGCUUCCAUUCUGGCAUCUCAUUGAGCUGAGUCUCCUUGGACUCUGAAACACAAGAACAGACUCAUGGGAGGUCAAGCCAGAAAGGACCUCUGAGUUCAUCCCUUCCAGCUCCCUCAUUUUACAGAGAGGGAAAGUCACUUGCCUCAGGGACACACAGUGAGUUAAUAAUAGCCUUGCACAGUACCUGUACCAGGACCUAGGUCCUUGGAGUCCUAACAUUAGCUCUUUCCCAUUCUGACAUCUACUGGCCCUUCCAGUCAUGACCAUACCAGCCCCUGGUCACAAAAUCUCUUGUUGACUUGGCAGGUCUUUCCCUACCCGACUUGUACCUAUCCAUGUACCUUCUAUCCUUGGGGAGGAAGCUCAGCUCAGCCCAUUCUUCCUGGGAAGCCCUCUCUGAUUAAAUGCACUUGCUGGAAAGCUCUGGGCACCUACAGCUUUACACCCUUUGGCAAAUAGAGUAAUUUACUGUGUUGCUUAGUAAUUAACUGUGUUUCUUUCUUCUAGCUAUUCUUAGUGUCUCUAUUUCCACCUGGAGUAAAGGCAGCCUCAAGGCAGAGACCCUAGAAUCCACCCACCCCUGUCCCUCAUGGUGUCUAGCACCAGACUCUGCAGAGGAGGUGGAGUAUUUAAAGCUGGAAGGAAACUUAAAGAUUAUCCUACCCAGCCCCCUCAUGAGUCCCUGAAAUGUGAAAGCUAUUGUCAAAGGACACAUAAGUUUACCCUCAAUGGCAGAGUCAAGAUUUGAACUUGGAUCUUCUGCCUCCAAAUCCAUCGUGUUUUUUUCUGAAUGUCUGCCCAACUAUUCUCCUCAAGAACUAUAAAUGCUAUAAUGCAAUAUAUUGACAAAAUGCUACUCAGAAAACAUACCCAGUGUAGGUCACCAGGGACCACUAGGGUCAGUUUAGAGACUGGUUCCAGAAAAUAAAACAAACUCUUGUUUGUGUUAUUGGAAGAAAAAGAGCUCCUCCAGAAAUCUCUGCCACAUGAACCUCAAUCUUAAUUUACGCACUAUUAUUUAAACAGGAAUCAUUUAUACUUGCUACUCAGGCUGACUUCAUAAACUAUCCCAACAUGAAAGUCAUUCUUUCAUAUAUGGGGGAUUCUGGUCUACACUGGCACCCUUAAGAAAUGGAGCACUCCUGCCCUCAACCGGGAGUCAUAGGCUCUAGUCUUGCUCACUGAGUAAUGAAUCACCUCCUUUUGAUUCCUUGAAGAGUCUCCAACCCCAAGCUUUGAGUAUUGAGACAGGAUUUCUACAUUAGGGAGGACACCGGCUCUCCUUCUUUAUCUCUGCCUCCUUCAAUUGCUUCAAUUGCUCUAGCUUCAAUUCUCAGCUAAAAUCCCACCUCCAACAGGAGUCUUCCCCAGUCUUCCUUAAUCUUAGCAACAUCCUUGAGAGAUCCCAUCUUCUCCUAGGAGAGAUAGCGUACCAUUCCCUCAAAGCAGUCCAUUCCAUUUUUGGACCACUCUGAUAUUAUUUUCCUCCCUCUUAUCAAGCCAAAAGUUGCUCUUCAAAAUCUCCACUUGCUCGUCUUGGUUCUAACCUCUGGUGUCAUACAGAACAUCUCAUCCUUUCUCUGCAUCAAAACCUUUCAAGCACCUGAAGAUAGGUAGCAUGUCCCUCAAAUGCAUGCCCAAUUCCUUCAAUCAAUCCACAAAGGAUGCAAACCAAAGGCCCUUCAACACCCUGGUUGUCCUCUGUUCUCUCCAGCUUAUCAGCUUCUUUCUUCAGCUGCACCCAAACAGAACACAACUCUUUUCCUCUCUCCCUCCCCCACCAGAGGUUAUCAGGAUUAAGCGACUUGCCCAGAAUGACAUAGCUAGUAAGUGUCAUAUGUCUGAAGCACAAUUUGAACUGGUCCAAUGAGGGCAAAGAACAGUGGGAUUAGCACCUUCAUUUUUCCUGGAAGCAACAUCUGUCUUAAUAUAGCCCAAGAUCUCAUUAAUCUGUGUGGCUGACAUAUUUCAUCACUGACUGAUGGAGCUUGAGGUUCACUAGCAUUCUCAGAUUUAUCUUGAACGCCAUCCUUCAUAAUCUUGAACUUGGGGAAACCUUUUUUUUCCCCUAAAACUUUUCAUAAUAUUAUUAAAUUUGGGGAUCCUGACUUUGUCAUCCUAUAUGAGCCAUCCCUCCCAGCUCACUGUCACCAGCACUUGAUGAGCAGAUCAUCCAUCUAUGCCUUUAUACAGGCACAGGGCCAAGCCCAGACUCCUGGGAUUGUAGACGCCAUGAUUAACUAAGAAUCAUUCAUAUAAGACUGGAAGUUCUUUGAGGGCAGGGACUGUUUUUUGCCUUUUUUUGAACCUCAGUGCCUGGCACUGGAAUCCAUCUGACUAAAUUCAAAUCUACAGCUCUCCAUCUUCUCCACAAGAAUAGUAUGAAAAACUACCAAAUGCUUUGUUAAAAAUCCAGGAAAAGUGUGCUACACACUCCAAAUUGCAUUCUAUGCCUUUUGUCUGCAGAUAAUUCUUAUCAUCACCUACGCCUGAGAGCACAAUCAGCUCUGGACCUACUUCUCCUAGAUCCCUCCCAUUCCAGGUCACAGACACAGACUAGUAGGUGAGGGUUUAUGUUCUUUGAGAGAACAUAUAAAAGAAAAGACUCAUUUCCAGAAGGAAACACACACACAUAUCUAUCUUGUUUUUUCUUUUUUCUCUUGUUUCUCUCUCUCCUCUCUCCCUUUCCCUGUCCCUCUUUUUUUCCCUUUGUUUCCUCUCUCUCCCCCAUUC